GACGAACGCUGGCGGCGUGCCUAAUACAUGCAAGUAGGACGCAGUUGCGAACGGGUGAGUAACGCGUAGGUAACUACCUAUUAGAGGGGGAUAACUAUUGGAAACGAUAGCUAAUACCGCAUACUAGUAGAUGGACCUGCGGUGUAUUGGCUAGUAGGUAGGGUAAUGGCCUACCUAGGGAACGAUACAUAGCCGACCUUAGAGGGGUGACGGCCACAAUGGGGCUGGGACACGGGCCAGACCCCCACGGGGGGCCACAGUAGGGGAUCGUCGGCAAUGGGGGGAACCCUGACCGAGCAACGCCGCGUGAGUGAAGAAGGUUUUCGGAUCGUAAAGCUCUGUUGUUAAGGAAGCGGUACUUAACCAGAAAGGGACGGCUAACUACGUGCCAGCAGCCGCGGUAAUAC
RNAcentral lists this ribosomal RNA (407 nucleotides) under uncultured bacterium. RNAcentral's name for it is "partial 16S ribosomal RNA". It matches the Rfam family "Bacterial small subunit ribosomal RNA", at positions 28 to 526 of the family's 1533-position model. The record is from RNAcentral.